RNAcentral lists this ribosomal RNA (497 nucleotides) under uncultured bacterium. Its description in RNAcentral is "partial 16S ribosomal RNA". It matches the Rfam family "Bacterial small subunit ribosomal RNA", at positions 28 to 507 of the family's 1533-position model. The record is from RNAcentral.
GAUGAACGCUGGCGGCGUGCCUAAUACAUGCAAGUCGAGCGAACGGACGAGAAGCUUGCUUCACUGAUGUUAGCGGCGGACGGGAGAGUAACACGUGGAUACCCUACCUAUAAGACUGGGAUCACUUCGGGAAACCGGAGCUAAUACCGGAUAAUAUUUUGAACCGCAUGGUUCAAAAGUGAAAGACGGUCUUGCUGUCACUUAUAGAUGGAUCCGCGCUGCAUUAGCUAGUUGGUAAGGUAACGGCUUACCAAGGCAACGAUGCAUAGCCGACCUGAGAGGGUGAUCGGCCACACUGGAACUGAGACACGGUCCAGACUCCUACGGGAGGCAGCAGUAGGGAAUCUUCCGCAAUGGGCGAAAGCCUGACGGAGCAACGCCGCGUGAGUGAUGAAGGUCUUCGGAUCGUAAAACUCUGUUAUUAGGGAAGAACAUAUGUGUAAGUAACUGGGCACAUCUUGACGGUACCUAAUCAGAAAGCCACGGCUAACUACGUG